This 316-nucleotide ribosomal RNA is filed under the name uncultured Bulleidia sp. RNAcentral describes it as "bacterial SSU rRNA". It matches the Rfam family "Bacterial small subunit ribosomal RNA", at positions 28 to 339 of the family's 1533-position model. Lineage: Bacteria; Bacillati; Bacillota; Erysipelotrichia; Erysipelotrichales; Erysipelotrichaceae. The record is from RNAcentral.
GAUAAACGCUGGCGGCGUGCCUAAUACAUGCAAGUCGAUCGCUGGAGCUCAAGCUUGCUUGAGUGAAGGAGAGGCGAACGGGUGAGUAAUACGUAAGCAACCUGCCUACACGGACUGGGAUAACACCUGGAAACGGGCGCUAAUACCGGAUAGGUAAUGAGAAGGCAUCUUCUUAUUAUUAAAGGUUUGAAACACAAGUAGAUGGGCUUACGGUGCAUUAGCUAGUUGGUGAGGUAACGGCCCACCAAGGCGAUGAUGCAUAGCCGGCCUGAGAGGGUGAACGGCCACAUUGGGACUGAGACACGGCCCAGACUCC